Solanum tuberosum (potato) is the source of this 1087-nucleotide long non-coding RNA. RefSeq lists it as uncharacterized. Lineage: Eukaryota; Viridiplantae; Streptophyta; Magnoliopsida; Solanales; Solanaceae. The record is from RefSeq and is a predicted model, not a curated record. The transcript has 2 exons.
AAAGGGAAAAAAAGACUUUUGAAACUUGUAGUCUAAAAUAAGUCAUAGUUGUUUGUGUUGCUAUAAAUCAUCUCAUUCAGGGUAAAAUGGGCAUGUUUAAGUUAAAUAGCAACUAAAUAUAGAAAUGAGUCAUUAUUUUUGGGACUUAUGUAAUACCCUAUAUUAAAAUAAGGGCAUAAUUGUCAUUUAGCUCUCAUUUAAAAAAAAAGGGGGCUGAAAGCCCUAACAGAAGCAGCAGCAACGCUGCAACUUCAGCGAUCAAAAGAAAAAAAAAGGACUCUUCUUGUUCUAUAGUGAGCGAACGAACGAAGGAGAAACAUAAAUUUAAAUUGAAAGCCUUGGCUCUCAAACUAAAGAGAGAGGUGGAAGAAGAAGAAGAAUGAGAAGAAGGUAAGUUUCUUAACUUAAUCUAAAGGUUGAAUUUGUAUCUUCCAUGACUAUAAGAUUGGGAAUUGGGAAGUUGAGAAACAUGGGUUUAGAAGAAAAAGAGGAAAUUUAUCUCAUUCUUAUGAACCAAGUGAAUAUAGUCAAUGAUUUGAACUGUAAACUUUGGUAUUGGGCUUAUAUGCAAUAAGAGUAAUUGGGCAGUAAGGUUAGGUUGAUCUUUUUACAGCGAGAAUUGACCAAGAAGAGACUAAUGUGUGUGAUUAAAGCACUAAUUAAGUGAUUGGGCAGAUUUCGAAUCAGCCAUGAAACCUCUAGGGCUGGGUUUUUUAAAAAUGUAGUAUGAAUUACCUAAAUGAAGGAGUUAACACGAAAUUAUUAUGAAUGUGAUUAUAGAUUGACCAAAGGAAUUCAUACGGAGUAAUCGAGUGGCAAGCUUGGUAACUCAACACAAGUACUAGAAUUCAAGUGGUAUUGAAGAGGAUUUCAUUAACUAGCGUGUGAGUUGGUAGCAUCUGGUGAGCCCCGCAUUGCUUCGCGUGGCAAGAGAACUAUUGAUUUGUUAUGUUUAUUUAGUUUCUUUUAAAAACUCUUAGAGUUGCUCCAUUUGUCAUUCUUUUGAUUUGAGUCAAGAUUAGUCCUUCGAAUUGUAGUCAAGUGACUAGUUUGGAACUUUUUUCGUAAUUUGGAGAUGAAUUGGUUU